GUGAUGAACACCUCGAUCUCCGAUCGCUGGGAUGAGGAUGCGGUGGCUGUCUGA
Molecule: small nucleolar RNA, 54 nt
Filed under: Aeropyrum pernix K1
Lineage: Archaea; Thermoproteati; Thermoproteota; Thermoprotei; Acidilobales; Acidilobaceae
Description: APEsR16
Source: RNAcentral